UCAAAUAGAUUCUCUCUUACAAAACUUCAGGAGAUGACUUCCAAACUAGGAAUUCUUUCAGGUUUGGCAGCAAAUUGCUUUCUCUAUUUUCGUUUCUAGAGGUGGCCCUAGUGGACGAGAAGAUGCGGGAAGCGAGGCUGAGGUGGUUCGGGCAUGUACGGAGGAGGGGUCCCGAUGCCCCGGUGAGGAGCUGCGAGCGGCUGGNN
This 206-nucleotide long non-coding RNA is filed under the name Nicotiana benthamiana. RNAcentral describes it as "long non-coding RNA (NBEN_LNC015065)". The record is from RNAcentral. Lineage: Eukaryota; Viridiplantae; Streptophyta; Magnoliopsida; Solanales; Solanaceae.